Dreissena polymorpha is the source of this 3012-nucleotide long non-coding RNA. RefSeq lists it as uncharacterized. The transcript has 2 exons. The record is from RefSeq and is a predicted model, not a curated record. NCBI's taxonomy places the organism in Eukaryota, Metazoa, Mollusca, Bivalvia, Myida, Dreissenidae.
GCCAUUGCAUUGGUGUUUUUUUUCCACCAUUUUGGGAAUGGGGCCGGAUCCAUUUGGAUUUAGAAAAAUUGCAUGGUUUUGACUUAAAUUGGGAAAUAAGACUCGUCUACUGAAUGUAAUAACUAGGGUAACUGACAUUUUGUGAAUUGUUCAGGAAUGCAUAUUUUCAGACAUUUUUUAAAAUACAGUAAGAGCACUUACCUUAUUUUUUGCGCUCUAAAUUUGUCAGUGUUGAAAUUAUGGUAACUGCUCCUUUCUUGAUUUUUUUAUUGUUUUAAAAAAGACAUAUCAAUUUGGAGUUUUGUUUCGUUUUUCAAGUGUUAUUAUAAUGCUAAUCAGAAAAAUUGAAUACUGAAAAAUGUUUAUUAUUUUAAUAAAACAUUUUUUGCUUCUCCUGAAAAUUUAACAAAAUGUCAGUUACGCUACUUUUUACAUUCAGAAAAUGACAUGUGUUUGUUAAGUCAAUUUCGAAAAUUUGAUAUAAACAUUAUUUUUACCAAAAAGGUUGACUUAAUAUUUUAACAGUUGAUGUAUGUCACCUAAAUAAACACAAAAAUGUAAAAAAUUAAAAAUGUAUAAAAAUGUCAGUUACAUGACUUAUUACAUUCAGUAGGCAAAGUGUUGGUUUCCUUGCAAACAAAUACUUUAAAAUUCAAUAUAAAAAUGUUUUCAGUAUUGUAUUUUCUUAGGUUCAGUUUAUGGAGCUGGAUGGGAGGUCAACUGAAUGUUGAGCUUUAUUUUUACAAAAAAGAAAGAUAUUAUGUAGUGAAUUUUCAAAGCGAGAAAGAAAACAAAGCUGCAAUUCAAAAGUUAAAAAAGUAUUUGCAGACUUCUUGAAAAAACAAUAGUAAAAGAAUGUUUCUGUUAUGAACUUGUACAAAAAUGAAACAAAUAAGGAACUUUUUACGCAAGCACAAACUUGAAGAAAAAACUUUCAUUAACAUGGCUUCACAUUUAGGUGUUUAUAAUAUGUGGUGGCCAAGCUUUUCCACUUUUUACUUUCUAUUACAUGAUUACUACAUCACAAUACAACUUGCAGUGCUGGGAUAUUUAUCACUAAAGAAACAAGCUCUUGUUCUGUUAAAUUAUUUGUUUAACAUGCUUUCAGUUGAAUACAGGUUUUUAUUAAUGAAAAAUAUUUCAUAUUUUUAAGUGAGUGAAAAUGUAAGGAAAAAGAACAGUUUCACUCGUAGUUAUGGGGCUUGUGAUUAUAUCUGUUUUUAAGGGGUGUUGCGGCAGUUUAUUUAACCGAGGAUAUAUUUAGAGCAACACUGCUAUUUUCACAACUCAAUAUUUUUGUUAUCAGUAUCAUCAGAAAUGACCGAGUUGGUUCAUAAUACAAUUGUCAGUGGUUUGAUCCCAGGCGGGGUAAACUUUUGUUUUACUUUUUUUUCUUUCUUUAAUUUCAUACUUGUUUUAUACUGGAGCUCUUUAGACCUGUUGUUUACAUUUAUCAAUUUAAAGCAUUUAAAUACAAACUUCAAAACAUGCCGAAAAUCUGUGAACAUGUAAGUUAUUAAUGAUUAAGGUCGAGUUUGAUACUGUAUGGUAUUAUGGUUGUGAUUAAAUAUUGUUUUUAGCUCACCUGAGCACAACGUGCUCAAGGUGAGCUUUUGUGAUUGCCUUUUGUCCGUCGUCCGUCGUGUGACGUCAACAUUUGCCUUGUUCACUCUCUAGAGGCCACGUUUAUUGUCCAAUCUUCAUGAAAUUUGGUCAGAAGAUUGUUUUCAAUGAUAUCUUGGAUGAGUUCGAAAAUGGUGACGUUUGCUUGAAAAACAUGUCUGCCAAGGGGCGGGGCAUUUUUCCUGAUAUGGCUAUAUAUGGCUAUAGCAAAAUCUUGUUAACACUCUAGAGGCCACAUUAAUUGUCCGAUCCUCAUAAAACUUGGUCAGAAGAUUCAUCCCAAUAAUAUCUUGGACGAGUUUGAAAAUGAUGUCGGUUUGUUGAAAAACAUGGCUGCCAGGGGGCGGGGCAUUUUUCCUUAUAUGGCUAAAGUAAAACCUUGUUAACACUCUAGAGGCCACAUUUUUUUUCCGAUCUUCAUGCAACUUGCUCAGAAGAAUUGUCCCACUGAUAUCUUGGAUGAGUUCAGAAAUGGUUACAUUUGCUUGAAAAACAUGGCUGCCAAGGGGCGGGCAUUUUUCCUUAUAUGGCUAUAUAUGACUAUAGUAAAAUCUUGUUAACACUCUAGAGGCCACAUUUAUUAUCCAAUCUUCAUGAAACUUGCUCUGAAGAUUCAUCCCGAUAAUAUCUUGGACGAGUUCAAAAAUGAUGCCAGUUGGUUGAAAAACAUGGCUUCCAGGGGGCGGGGCAUUUUUCCUUAUAUGGCUAUAGCAAAAUCUUGUUAACACUCCAGAGGCCACAUUUAUUUUCCGAUAUUCAUGAAACUUGGUCAGAAGAUUUAUCCCAAUAAUAUCUUGUUAUCUCAGGUGAGCGACUUUGGGCCUUUCAGGCCCUCUUGUUUAUUAAUGUCUUUUGGUAAGCUGUUGUGAUCCCAGUUAAGAUUGUAAACAAUUUCUAAUAUUUAUGUUUAUUUCUGACUAUCUAUGUACUGGUACUUGGGUUUUGUCUUAUUGCUGUUUUUAACCAGGUUUUCCGAAGGAAAAAACUGGUUAUUAGAUUGGCGAAUGCGGGCGGGCUGGCUGGCUGGCGGGCUGGCUGGCUGGCGGGCUGGGGGAAUAAGCUUGUCCGGGCCAUAACUAUGUCGUUCAUUGUCAGAUUUUAAAAUCAUUUGGCACAUUUGUUCACCAUCAUUGGACGAUGUGUCGCGCGAAAUAAUUACGUCGAUAUCUCCAAGGUCAAGGUCACACUUUGAGUUCAAAGGUCAAAAAUGGCCAUAAAUGAGCUUGUCCUGGCCAUAACUAUGUCAUUCAUUGUGAGAUUUUAAAAUCAUUUGGCACAUUUGUUCACCAUCAUGGGACGGUGUGUCCCACGAAAGAAUCACGUCAAUAUCUCCAAUGUCAAGGUCGCCACGACUAAAAAUAGAUUAAAAAAAAAAAAAAAACUUACAAA